UUCAUAAUCAUAAGGCAUUAUGCUGCCCGCUUAAAAUGCUGUAGGAAUAUAUAGACAUGUAGGAAUAUAUAGACAUGUAGGUCAUACCACUUAGCUUCAUAAUCAUAAGGCAUUAUGCUGCCCGCUUAAAAUGCUGUAGGAAUAUAUAGACAUGUAGGAAUAUAUAGACAUGUAGGUCAUACCACUUAGCUUCAUAAUCAUAAGGCAUUAUGCUGCCCGCUUAAAAUGCUGUAGGAAUAUAGACAUGUAGGAAUAUAUAGACAUGUAGGUCAUACCACUUAGCUUCAUAAUCAUAAGGCAUUAUGCUGCCCGCUUAAAAUGCUGUAGGAAUAUAUAGACAUGUAGGUCAUACCACUUAGCUUCAUAAUCAUAAGGCAUUAUGCUGCCCGCUUAAAAUGCUGUAGGAAUAUAUAGACAUGUAGGUCAUACCACUUAGCUUCAUAAUCAUAAGGCAUUAUGCUGCCUGCUUAAAAUGCUGUAGGAAUAUAUAGACAUGUAGGUCAUACCACUUAGCUUCAUAAUCAUAAGGCAUUAUGCUGCCUGCUUAAAAUGCUGUAAGAAUAUAUAGACAUGUAGG
Long non-coding RNA from Oncorhynchus gorbuscha (pink salmon), 577 nucleotides. RefSeq lists it as uncharacterized. The transcript has 2 exons. The record is from RefSeq and is a predicted model, not a curated record. Lineage: Eukaryota; Metazoa; Chordata; Actinopteri; Salmoniformes; Salmonidae.